UACUGCAACAGGUUGGAUGCAAUGUUAAAACAAUUGCACGAUAUUACAGAUCAGCCGACACUUCGAUAUAAGGGUUCAGGUUUUUGGUUAUGGAAAAGUGAUAAAUUCAACAGUUUACUGCUGAAAUUGGUGACAAUGAAAUCCAUUUUAGAGUUAAGUACUGAUAUCCCACUUUAGUUGUGAUUUUACAUUCACGCAGUUCUAGCUUUCAAACCCAAUUUCUACAAAACUUUUUGAGAAAUUUUAAAGCCUAGCUUCAAUUCAGUUUAGCUGCUCCUUUCCCGGAUUUUGUUCUGAAAAAAGCAUUAAAAACAAUAAAGAGAUGAAAAGGAAAAGGAGGAUAUGGAGAUUGGAGACCCACAAAAUAUAAUUCAAGUAGGAAUGAGUCCUUGUACCGUGAAUUGUGGAAGUACCCGAAAAAGUAUUUCCCCUCUGUUCAGUCUGCAGUUGCCCAACGGAACCUUUUUAAGUAAAAAAAAAAAGCUGAACCUCUGAUGAGAUCUCUUGGCCUCCAUCAGACACCAACAAAACUGAUCCACCCCUUGUUUGUCUCUUAUUGUUUCUUACUCAUACAGCUGCCUGAUGUCUCUCUUGUCUAUGCAAUCAAACAUCCCCAUAAUGCAUUAAAAGGUCAGUGCUUGUGCUUCCAUCUCAGUGCUAGUGCUUCCAUCAUUCACUUUCUUCCCCCCCCCCUCUUUUAUUUUCCCUCUUACACCCUGUUUUAUUGGUUAGAGGAAAUGAUUUCUUUGAAAAUAUUAUGUUCAUGGUUUCUAUUUUAGCAUUUGUUUGUUAUUGAUGGGUUCUCCUGCAAAUUUAGAAAGAUGCCUUUGUUUAUUCGCUAUUUCAUUCGGAGAAAUUCCCCAUGGCAGUUGCCUUGAACAGUUUGGGGUGUGAUUUGUGAUUUGUUUCCUUGUUUCACAUGUGUAUAUUGAAAUGAUGUCAAUUAUAUUUAUUAGUAAUAGUCAGAAACUGAGAAGCUGUUAUUCACUGACAAUGACCAUGGCUUGCAUCAAGCUUGUCCUAUGCUUGUUUAUUUCAGUGUACUUGUGUAGUUUUGUCCACUAUCAUGACGAAAACAACGUAACCUUGAGUGGCAUGAGAGGGGAUAUUGAAAUGUAUACAUUCAUAUGUGCUUUUCUAUACAAAUGCCAACAUCAAUCAUUGUUUUGGUACUCCUCUCACAGCUCAUUUUAUCUGGACAUACCUGUUUAUGUUUUUAGUUGUUUGCCCAUAUACAUGGAAUUUUAUUUAAUUACAGAUGAUUAUAAGAAAUGAAGUGUGUCUGAAUUGAAGGUGUGUUCCGGAAUUAAACAAAAUUCCAUGUAUAUGGCCAAACAACAAAAAACAUAAAAAGGUAUGUCCUGAUAAAAUGAGCUGUGAGAGGAGUACCAAUGAGGGGUAUUGGAAAUGAAGGACUUGUACUUUUGUUUUGAAUUCCCCACUUAAAACGGUUUCCGUCCAUUUCUAAAUCUAAUUUGAGUUUCGACAUCCAACACCUGUUCAUUGCAAAAUGGAGAUCUUAUUUGAGGUUUAGGUAUCAAUGCACUCUCUUUUAGUAAAUUUGUUGGCCAAUUUUCUAUUGAGAUAUGGGAAGUGUUGAUGUAUAACAUAUGUUUGAUCCAACAUAAAUGUUUUAAUCAGUUUUAGUUGGAAUUAGAAGUCUGUCUAAACUUUUUUCUGGUAGUUAUUCAAUCAUUUGGAGCACUUUAUAGAUGAGAAAGAAGAAAGGCUAUGUUUUGGAAGUUUGAAGUUGUGCCCCGAGGAAUGUGUUCAUUUAUCAUAAUCCAUUCCUAUUGAACAUUGUGCAAGUGCAUCUUUGUUAUUUUUGUGUGCUUUCAGAGAUCAUGGAAAAUACAUGAAUGACUGCUAGGAGGCAUGGAUAGUUUCAAGCCUUAAACGGAUUGGGGGAUUGGGCUUCCAUUUUAGCUUGUUAAGUGUACUUCUUACCAUUUACCAAUGACUUACUGGAGUUUACUGUUGGUUGUUCAUGGUUUAGGGUGUCUGAAUUCUGUAGUGGAAAAGGUUUGUAGGAGGUCAGUAGAUGUUAUUAUGAAGAACUAAACUCAGUUUCAACCCAUUGUGCUUUGAUUGUCAGUAUCUCUAUGCAUGUAUUCUCAAUAAGUAUGUUUCAGAAAUUACAGAAAAUUUUAUCGGUCCAUGUGUUAUGGAGUUCAAAUAGCAUUUGUGGUUUUGAAGGUUGAAUUCAUUUUUGUCCCAUUGGGACAUUAACUUUUUUGGAUGAUAAUGUCCAUUAACUUGGAAUUAAGGAAGAUGAUGCUCUUUUCUAUUUGAUAUUUUUUAUCAAAGAAUGUAUGGCGGUAUUCAAUAGAAGAGAGAGGUAGUCUUUAUCAUGAUGACCUCUAGAGAAGAGGAUUUUGGAGUUGAAGCAUGUUGAAGAUUUGGAUUGCUAGAUUUCUACCUUUAUAAUGAUGGAAAAACCAACUUCUAGAUUUGAGGUCAGAUAUUUUAGAGUUAGGCAAUAGAAAGGCAUUGAAGCGGAUGAGUUUAGAUUCCUUGUGAGCGUAUGGGAUUGAUUACAGGAGAUGGCUGAAGAGUUUUGUUUUUCUUUACUCUCAUUUGAAAGUUUCAACAAAGCUUGCUUUUCAAGGAUUCGUAUACUCUUAUGAACGAGAAUGUAGGAUCACAAUCCACGGGUGGAUCAGGAUUUUGUAAUGUCUGAAUUAAGUUAAAUGUUGGGGGGGGGGGGCAUAAGCUCCUCUUAGCUACUAGGAGUAACUAACCUUCAUGGAUGUGAACUUUCUUUGAGCAGUUAGUUUCUUAUGUACAUGAUUCUGAAGCAUAAUAUCCAAUUCGUAGUAUCAUGUUCAUUUUUGCUACCAAACUGUCCAAGAAAUCAAAUCCUAUUCUUUCGUUGCCUUAUGGUGAGCUUGGAUGUUCCAGGGUCAACUGCCUUCUGUAAUUACAAAUUAGCAGUAGUGGACUAGCUAUCUACACUCAUGUUAUAAUUCACUGUAACCUCUAACACCAGUCAAGCGGAUGAAAUGGUGGAUAACGGAAACUUCUAGGAUCAUUUAAGUUAAUUGCAGCAUCAAAC
Molecule: long non-coding RNA, 3055 nt
Filed under: Gossypium barbadense (sea-island cotton)
Lineage: Eukaryota; Viridiplantae; Streptophyta; Magnoliopsida; Malvales; Malvaceae
Description: long non-coding RNA (GBAR_LNC007601)
Source: RNAcentral